UUGAAAACAUUGUAAAGGAGAGUUGAGCUGGUCCUUCUAGGGCAAGUGCUCGCUUUUCUUUCAAUCUUCAUCCACCUGUGCACUCUUUGUAGAGAGCUUUGAGAAACGAGAGCCUCCGGGCUCUCUCUAGUAUUGGGGCUCUCUAUGUCUUUACACACUCUGAAUGUAUGUCAUUGAAUGUCUUUUAUAAAGGAACUUAAUUGUACCUUUUAAAACUAUA
Molecule: unclassified non-coding RNA, 220 nt
Filed under: uncultured Marasmius
Lineage: Eukaryota; Fungi; Basidiomycota; Agaricomycetes; Agaricales; Tricholomataceae
Description: sequence contains ITS1
Source: RNAcentral